AGCUCCAAUAGCGUAUAUUAAAGUUGUUGCAGUUAAAACGCUCGUAGUCGGAUUUCGGGGCUUGCUCGCCGGUCUGCCGAUGGGUAUGCACUGGCGAGCGUGUCCUUUCUUCCGGAGACUGAUCCUACUCUUAACUGAGCGGGGUCGGGAGUCGGGACUUUUACUUUGAAAAAUCAGAGUGUUUCAAGCAGGCGUCUCGCUAUGCAUGGAUUAGCAUGGGAUAAUGAAAUAGGACUUUGGUGCU
RNAcentral lists this ribosomal RNA (244 nucleotides) under uncultured eukaryote. RNAcentral's name for it is "partial small subunit ribosomal RNA". It matches the Rfam family "Eukaryotic small subunit ribosomal RNA", at positions 587 to 837 of the family's 1831-position model. The record is from RNAcentral.